AGGUAAGCUACUAAGAGCGAAUGGUGGAUGCCUUGACUGGUAAAGGCGAUGAAGGACGUACUAGACUGCGAUAAGCUACGGGGAGCUGUCAAGAAGCUUUGAUCCGUAGAUUUCCGAAUGGGGCAACCCAAUGUAUAGAGAUAUACAUUACCUAUAUAGGAGCGAACGAGGGGAAUUGAAACAUCUUAGUACCCUCAGGAAAAGAAAUCAAUAGAGAUUGCGUCAGUAGCGGCGAGCGAAAGCGUAAGAGGGCAAACCCAGUGCUUGCACUGGGGGUUGUAGGACUGCAAUGUGCAAGAGGUGAGUUUAGCAGAACAUUCUGGAAAGUAUAGCCAUAGAGGGUGAUAGUCCCGUAUGCGAAAAACAAACCUUAGCUAGCAGUAUCCUGAGUAGGGCGGGACACGAGAAAUCCUGUCUGAAGCUGGGUCGACCACGAUCCAACCCUAAAUACUAAUACCAGAUCGAUAGUGCACAAGUACCGUGAGGGAAAGGUGAAAAGAACUGAGGUGAUCAGAGUGAAAUAGAACCUGAAACCAUUUGCUUACAAUCAUUCAGAGCACUAUGUAGCAAUACAGUGUGAUGGACUGCCUUUUGCAUAAUGAGCCUGCGAGUUGUGGUGUCUGGCAAGGUUAAGCAAACGCGAAGCCGUAGCGAAAGCGAGUCUGAAUAGGGCGCUUAGUCAGAUGCUGCAGACCCGAAACGAAGUGAUCUAUCCAUGAGCAAGUUGAAGCUAGUGUAAGAACUAGUGGAGGACUGAACCCAUAGGCGUUGAAAAGCCCCGGGAUGACUUGUGGAUAGGGGUGAAAGGCCAAUCAAACUUCGUGAUAGCUGGUUCUCUCCGAAAUAUAUUUAGGUAUAGCGUUGUGUCGUAAUAUAAGGGGGUAGAGCACUGAAUGGGCUAGGGCAUACACCAAUGUACCAAACCCUAUCAAACUCCGAAUACCUUAUAUGUAAUCACAGCAGUCAGGCGGCGAGUGAUAAAAUCCGUCGUCAAGAGGGAAACAACCCAGACUACCAGCUAAGGUCCCUAAAUCUUACUUAAGUGGAAAACGAUGUGAAGUUACUUAAACAACCAGGAGGUUGGCUUAGAAGCAGCCAUCCUUUAAAGAAAGCGUAAUAGCUCACUGGUCUAGUGAUUUUGCGCGGAAAAUAUAACGGGGCUAAAGUAAGUACCGAAGCUGUAGACUUGAUUUUAUCAAGUGGUAGGAGAGCGUUCUAUUUGCGCCGAAGGUAUACCGGUAAGGAGUGCUGGAGCGAAUAGAAGUGAGCAUGCAGGCAUGAGUAGCGAUAAUUAAUGUGAGAAUCAUUAACGCCGUAAACCCAAGGUUUCCUACGCGAUGCUCGUCAUCGUAGGGUUAGUCGGGUCCUAAGUCGAGUCCGAAAGGGGUAGACGAUGGCAAAUUGGUUAAUAUUCCAAUACCAACAUUAGUGUGCGAUGGAAGGACGCUUAGGGCUAAGGGGGCUAGCGGAUGGAAGUGCUAGUCUAAGGUCGUAGGAGGUUAUACAGGCAAAUCCGUAUAACAAUACUCCGAGAACUGAAAGGCUUUUUGAAGUCUUCGGAUGGAUAGAAGAACCCCUGAUGCCGUCGAGCCAAGAAAAGUUUCUAAGUUUAGCUAAUGUUGCCCGUACCGUAAACCGACACAGGUGGGUGGGAUGAGUAUUCUAAGGCGCGUGGAAGAACUCUCUUUAAGGAACUCUGCAAAAUAGCACCGUAUCUUCGGUAUAAGGUGUGGUUCGCUUCGUAUUAGGAUUUACUCCGAAAGCGAAGAAACUUACAACAAAGAGUCCCUCCCGACUGUUUACCAAAAACACAGCACUCUGCUAACUCGUAAGAGGAUGUAUAGGGUGUGACGCCUGCCCGGUGCUCGAAGGUUAAUUGAUGGGGUUAGCAUUAGCGAAGCUCUUGAUCGAAGCCCGAGUAAACGGCGGCCGUAACUAUAACGGUCCUAAGGUAGCGAAAUUCCUUGUCGGUUAAAUACCGACCUGCAUGAAUGGCGUAACGAGAUGGGAGCUGUCUCAAAGAGGGAUCCAGUGAAAUUGUAGUGGAGGUGAAAAUUCCUCCUACCCGCGGCAAGACGGAAAGACCCCGUGGACCUUUACUACAGCUUGACACUGCUAUUUGGAUAAGAAUGUGCAGGAUAGGUGGGAGGCUUUGAGUAUAUGACGCCAGUUGUAUAUGAGCCAUUGUUGAGAUACCACUCUUUCUUAUUUGGGUAGCUAACCAGCUUGAGUUAUCCUCAAGUGGGACAAUGUCUGGUGGGUAGUUUGACUGGGGCGGUCGCCUCCCAAAUAAUAACGGAGGCUUACAAAGGUUGGCUCAGAACGGUUGGAAAUCGUUCGUAGAGUAUAAAGGUAUAAGCCAGCUUAACUGCAAGACAUACAAGUCAAGCAGAGACGAAAGUCGGUCUUAGUGAUCCGGUGGUUCUGUGUGGAAGGGCCAUCGCUCAAAGGAUAAAAGGUACCCCGGGGAUAACAGGCUGAUCUCCCCCAAGAGCUCACAUCGACGGGGAGGUUUGGCACCUCGAUGUCGGCUCAUCGCAUCCUGGGGCUGGAGCAGGUCCCAAGGGUAUGGCUGUUCGCCAUUUAAAGCGGUACGCGAGCUGGGUUCAGAACGUCGUGAGACAGUUCGGUCCCUAUCUGCCGUGGGCGUAAGAAGAUUGAAGAGAUUUGACCCUAGUACGAGAGGACCGGGUUGAACAAACCACUGGUGUAGCUGUUGUUCUGCCAAGAGCAUCGCAGCGUAGCUAAGUUUGGAAAGGAUAAACGCUGAAAGCAUCUAAGCGUGAAGCCAACUCUAAGAUGAAUCUUCUCUAAGCUCUCUAGAAGACUACUAGUUUGAUAGGCUGGGUGUGUAAUGGAUGAAAGUCCUUUAGCUGACCAGUACUAAUAGAGCGUUUGGCUUAUCUUU
This 2908-nucleotide ribosomal RNA is filed under the name Campylobacter coli. RNAcentral's name for it is "23S ribosomal RNA". It matches the Rfam family "Bacterial large subunit ribosomal RNA". Lineage: Bacteria; Pseudomonadati; Campylobacterota; Epsilonproteobacteria; Campylobacterales; Campylobacteraceae. The record is from RNAcentral.